Molecule: ribosomal RNA, 499 nt
Filed under: uncultured bacterium
Lineage: Bacteria
Description: partial 16S ribosomal RNA
Rfam family: Bacterial small subunit ribosomal RNA
Source: RNAcentral
GACGAACGCUGGCGGCGUGCCUAAUACAUGCAAGUCGAGCGAAGUUUUUCUGGUUCUUGCACUAGCACAACUUAGCGGCGAACGGGUGAGUAACACGUAAAGAACCUGCCUCAUAGACUGGGACAACUAUUGGAAACGAUAGCUCAUACCAGAUAACAGUAUUUCUCGCAUGAGAGAUGUUUAAAAGUUCGUUAUGCUAACACUAUGCGAUUGCUUUGCGGUGCAUUAGCUAGUUGGCUGGGUAAAGGCUCACCAGGGGGCCGAUGGAUAGCCGACCGGAGAGGGGGAUAGGCCACAUGGGAAGGGGGACAGGGCCAAGAGGACUAAGGGAGGCAGCAGUAGGGAAUCUUCGGCAAUGGGGGAAAGUCUGACGGAGCAAGGGCGCGUGAGUGAAGAAGGAGUUCGGUGCGUAAAGCUCUGUUGUGAGGGAAGAAUGGAUAUGUAGUAACAAGAAAUGUAAGAGACGGUACCUAACCAGAAAGCAACGGCUAACUACGUG